GUCCUCUUGCUUGUAUAUGAGGUCUGACCUGCCCAGUGAAAAAAGUUUUAACGGCCGCGGUAUUUUGACCGUGCAAAGGUAGCAUAAUCAUUAGUCUUUUAAUAGGAGGCUGGUAUGAAGGGUUUGACGAAUUGUUAGCUGUCUCAUUCAAUUUGAAAUUAAAAUUUAACUUUUCAGUUAAAAGGCUGAAAUUAAUUUGGAAGACGAGAAGACCCUAUAGAGCUUUAUAAACAAAUAUUUUUAUUUAAGUUUUUGCUUAUUAUACUUAUUUAUUGUUUUGUUUAUUUUGUUGGGGUGACAAAAAUAUAUAAUUAACUUUUUUAUUUAUAUAACAUUGAUUUAUGAAUUUUAGAUCCAGUCAUAUUGAUUGUUAGAUUAAGUUACC
RNAcentral lists this ribosomal RNA (385 nucleotides) under Ophiogomphus edmundo. RNAcentral describes it as "partial 16S ribosomal RNA". The record is from RNAcentral. Lineage: Eukaryota; Metazoa; Arthropoda; Insecta; Odonata; Gomphidae.